CACCUUCACUUCCUCUCUCUCUCUCUCUCUCUCUCUCUCUCUCUCUCUCUCUCUCUCUCUCUCUCCUCCUCCUCUUCUCUCUAUCUUUCUCUUCUGUCUGUUCUCCUCGGGAACCACGAGUCACCAACCUGAAUCUUGUAAAUUAACCCCCCGAAAAAACAACAACAAGAGGCUGGACAGGAGAAGAAAGGACGAGAGGCGAACCGAGCGAUAGAGAGAGGAGAGGAGUGAGAGAUUACAGACUCAAAGACGCACAACCAUGAUACUUUCUAAUCAUUCUAUUCAUUCAUUUUUCUGCUGCUGCUGUUCUGUAGAAUCCAGACGGAUCGGUCCAGGAGGAAGCUACCUCCCCCGCCACCAGAUAACGACGAUGGGGGAGACAUACUAGUGGUGGCCAUGUAUGACUUUACAGCUAAAGAGGACACAGACCUGACUUUGACCCAGGGAGAGGAGUACACUAUCCUACACAAACAGGACCAGCUGUGGUGGAGGGCACAGGACAAACACGGGUAGAUUGGUGAGAGGGCACAGGAUAAACACGGGUAGGUUGGGUGGGAGGGCACAGGAUAAACACGGGUAGGUGGGUGGGAGGGCACAGGACAAACACGGGUAGGUUGGGUGGGAGGGCACAGGAUAAACACGGGUAGGUUGGGUGGGAGGGCACAGGAUAAACACGGGUAGAUUGGUGAGAGGGCACAGGAUAAACACGGGUAGGUGGGUGGGAGGAGUGUGCGUCUCCUCACAGUUCACUCAAAGUGCAUCACACACACACACACACACACACACACACACACACACACACACACACACACACACACACACACACACACACACACACACACACACACACAGACACACACACACACACAUACACACACACAACAAGGUUAAUGACAUCUUGUUUGUGUGUGUGUGUGUGUGUGUGUGUGUGUGUGUGUGUAUAUAUAUAUAUACAGGGCACAUUUGGAAAAGAGACCUAUAGGUCUCAAUAUGUUUAUAAAAUUAAAGGUUAAUAUAAACAAAUACUAAUCUGCUUUAAACCAAAGAGAAACACCUUGAUGUGAUGUAAUCAUGUUUGAUUGGUUAACCCUGAACUCUCUGUCCCCUAUCAGAAAUAAGGGCUUUGGUUAACCCUGAACUCUCUGUCCCCUAUCAGAAAUAAGGGCUUUGGUUAACCCUGAACUCUCUGUCCCCUAUCAGAAAUAAAGGUUUUAUCCCCAGUAACUAUGUUACAGAAAAGGACAGAAUUGAGGCCAACCAGUGAGUAUGGUUAAAAUGUACUUACACAGUCCAGUACUACACAGAUAGUACACAGUCCAGUACUACACAGAUAGUACACAGUCCAGUACUACACAGAUACUUACACAGUCCUCCAGUACUACACAGAUAGUACACAGUCCAGUACUACACAGAUAGUACACAGUCCUCCAGUACUACACAGAUAGUACACAGUCCAGUACUACACAGAUAGUACACAGUCCAGUACUACACAGAUAGUACACAGUCCAGUACUACACAGAUACUUACACAGUCCUCCAGUACUACACAGAUAGUACACAGUCCAGUACUACACAGAUAGUACACAGUCCAGUACUACACAGAUAGUACACAGUCCAGUACUACACAGAUACUUACACAGUCCUCCAGUACUACACAGAUAGUACACAGUCCAGUACUACACAGAUAGUACACAGUCCAGUACUACACAGAUAGUACACAGUCCAGAACUACACAGAUACUUACACAGUCCUCCAGUACUACACAGAUAGUACACAGUCCAGUACUACACAGAUAGUACACAGUCCAGUACUACACAGAUAGUACACAGUCCAGUACUACACAGAUACUUACACAGUCC
RNAcentral lists this long non-coding RNA (1858 nucleotides) under Salmo salar (Atlantic salmon). RNAcentral's name for it is "lncRNA (ENSSSAG00000116178.1)". Lineage: Eukaryota; Metazoa; Chordata; Actinopteri; Salmoniformes; Salmonidae. The record is from RNAcentral.